CAGCAGCCGCGGUAACACGAAGGUCCCAAGCGUUGUUCGGAAUCACUGGGCGUAAAGGGAGCGUAGGCGGCGUGGUAAGUCAGAUGUGAAAUCCCGGGGCUCAACCCCGGAACUGCAUCCGAUACUGCCAUGCUUGAGGGUUGGAGAGGUAGCUGGAAUUCUCGGUGUAGCAGUGAAAUGCGUGGAUAUCGAGAGGAACACUCGUGGCGAAGGCGAGCUACUGGACAACAUCUGACGCUGAGGCUCGAAGGCUAGGGUAGCGAAAGGGAUUAGAUACCCCUGUAGUCCCUGUCUCUUAUAC
RNAcentral lists this ribosomal RNA (301 nucleotides) under uncultured bacterium. RNAcentral describes it as "partial 16S ribosomal RNA". It matches the Rfam family "Bacterial small subunit ribosomal RNA", at positions 509 to 807 of the family's 1533-position model. The record is from RNAcentral.